RNAcentral lists this transfer RNA (76 nucleotides) under Lentisphaerae bacterium RIFOXYA12_FULL_60_10. RNAcentral describes it as "tRNA-Lys". It matches the Rfam family "tRNA". Rfam says of the family: Transfer RNA (tRNA) molecules are approximately 80 nucleotides in length. Their secondary structure includes four short double-helical elements and three loops (D, anti-codon, and T loops). The record is from RNAcentral. Lineage: Bacteria; Pseudomonadati; Lentisphaerota. RNAcentral also lists the same sequence under 2 other names.
GGGCCGUUAGCUCAGUUGGUAGAGCAGUACACUUUUAAUGUACGGGUCGGCGGUUCGAGCCCGCCACGGCUCACCA